Non-coding RNA from Strongylocentrotus purpuratus (purple sea urchin), 114 nucleotides. The record is from Rfam. Lineage: Eukaryota; Metazoa; Echinodermata; Echinoidea; Camarodonta; Strongylocentrotidae.
GUUGGGUACGGUGACCUGGUGCCGCGAACGUGGCUGGGGAUGAUCGUGGGUGCGAUCACGGCCAUCAUCGGCGUGCUGACGCUUGCUCUGCCUGUUCCCGUCAUCGUCAACAAU